ACCGGCGCACGGGUGCGUAACACGUAUGCAAUCUACCUUAUACUGGGGCAUAACCUCGAGAAAUCGAAGCUAAUUCCCCAUAACAACAUGAAAUGGCAUCAUUUUAUGUUUAAAGCUCCGGCGGUAUAAGAUGAGCAUGCGUCCAAUUAGCUAGUUGGUGAGGUAAUGGCUCACCAAGGCUACGAUUGGUAGGGGGUCUGAGAGGAUGAUCCCCCACACUGGUACUGAGACACGGACCAGACUCCUACGGGAGACAGCAGUGAGGAAUAUUGCGCAAUGGAGGCAACUCUGACGCAGCCAUGCCGCGUGAAGGAUUGAAGGCCCUAUGGGUUGUAAACUUCUUUUAUACGGGAAAAAAACCUUGCUCGUGAGCGAGGCUGAUGGUACCGUAAGAAUAAGCACCGGCUAACUCCGUGCCAGCAGCCGCGGUAAUACGGAGGGUGCAAGCGUUAUCCGGAUUUAUUGGGUUUAAAGGGUCCGUAGGCGGAUCGUUAAGUCAGCGGUGAAAUCUUCCGGCUCAACCGGGAAACUGCCGUUGAUACUGUCGAUCUUGAGUACAAGUGAAGUUGGCGGAAUGUGUGGUGUAGCGGUGAAAUGCUUAGAUAUCACACAGAACACCUAUUGCGAAGGCAG
This 633-nucleotide ribosomal RNA is filed under the name uncultured Flavobacteriales bacterium. RNAcentral describes it as "bacterial SSU rRNA". It matches the Rfam family "Bacterial small subunit ribosomal RNA", at positions 94 to 724 of the family's 1533-position model. The record is from RNAcentral. Lineage: Bacteria; Pseudomonadati; Bacteroidota; Flavobacteriia; Flavobacteriales.